This 424-nucleotide ribosomal RNA is filed under the name Verrucomicrobiota bacterium. RNAcentral describes it as "Verrucomicrobia bacterium partial 16S ribosomal RNA". It matches the Rfam family "Bacterial small subunit ribosomal RNA", at positions 355 to 776 of the family's 1533-position model. Lineage: Bacteria; Pseudomonadati; Verrucomicrobiota. The record is from RNAcentral.
UGAGGAAUAUUGGUCAAUGGACGAGAGUCUGAACCAGCCAAGUAGCGUGCAGGAUGACGGCCCUAUGGGUUGUAAACUGCUUUUGUUUGGGAAUAAUCGACAUUACGUGUAAUGUUUUGCAUGUACCAUUCGAAUAAGGACCGGCUAAUUCCGUGCCAGCAGCCGCGGUAAUACGGAAGGUCCAGGCGUUAUCCGGAUUUAUUGGGUUUAAAGGGAGUGUAGGCGGUUGGUUAAGCGUGUUGUGAAAUGUAGACGCCCAACGUCUGCAUCGCAGCGCGAACUGGGACGCUUGAGUACGCGCAACGUUGGCGGAAUUCGUCGUGUAGCGGUGAAAUGCUUAGAUAUGACGAGGAACUCCGAUUGCGAAGGCAGCUGACGGGAGCGGCACUGACGCUUAAGCUCGAAGGUGCGGGUAUCAAACAGG